UUGAACGCUGGCGGCAUGCCUUACACAUGCAAGUCGAACGCGAAAGGGGGCAACCCUGAGUAGAGUGGCGAACGGGUGAGUAAUGUAUCGGAACGUACCCAGUAGUGGGGGAUAGCCCGGCGAAAGCCGGAUUAAUACCGCAUACGACCUACGGGUGAAAGCGGGGGAUCGCAAGACCUCGCGCUAUUGGAGCGGCCGAUAUCGGAUUAGCUAGUUGGUGGGGUAAAAGCCUACCAAGGCUACGAUCCGUAGCAGGUUUGAGAGAACGACCUGCCACACUGGGACUGAGACACGGCCCAGACUCCUACGGGAGGCAGCAGUGGGGAAUUUUGGACAAUGGGCGAAAGCCUGAUCCAGCCAUGCCGCGUGAGUGAAGAAGGCCUUCGGGUUGUAAAGCUCUUUCGGCCGGAACGAAAUCGCACUCGUGAAUAUCGAGUGUGGAUGACGGUACCGGAAGAAGAAGGACCGGCUAACUACGU
This 479-nucleotide ribosomal RNA is filed under the name uncultured bacterium. Its description in RNAcentral is "bacterial SSU rRNA". It matches the Rfam family "Bacterial small subunit ribosomal RNA", at positions 29 to 506 of the family's 1533-position model. The record is from RNAcentral.